AUAUUCGUGGUGUAAAGGUAGUACACUCGGCGUUUACUCGAGAGGUCCAGGUUCGAAUCCCGGCGAGGGCA
RNAcentral lists this transfer RNA (71 nucleotides) under Stegodyphus mimosarum. It matches the Rfam family "tRNA". Rfam says of the family: Transfer RNA (tRNA) molecules are approximately 80 nucleotides in length. Their secondary structure includes four short double-helical elements and three loops (D, anti-codon, and T loops). Further hydrogen bonds mediate the characteristic L-shaped molecular structure. tRNAs have two regions of fundamental functional importance: the anti-codon, which is responsible for specific mRNA codon recognition, and the 3' end, to which the tRNAs corresponding amino acid is attached (by aminoacyl-tRNA synthetases). tRNAs cope with the degeneracy of the genetic code in two manners: having more than one tRNA (with a specific anti-codon) for a particular amino acid; and 'wobble' base-pairing, i.e. permitting non-standard base-pairing at the 3rd anti-codon position. The record is from Rfam by way of RNAcentral. Lineage: Eukaryota; Metazoa; Arthropoda; Arachnida; Araneae; Eresidae.